AGGGUCUGAUCUCUGCACCCCGGGCCCCCGCGCAGACCCGCGGACGAGCGCUGGGUGGGGAUUUCAACCUGCUCCAGCUGAUGUGCGCGGGGUUUGCACCCCGGGGAGGCGAGGGAGAGAGUCCGGCCACGUCCUGCCAGGCCCCGCCCGCGCCCCCGCUGCCCUCCAGCGCGGAACCCAGGUCCCAGGAGACGCGAGGCGCCCAAGGCCCCGGGAUUCCGAGCCAGUCAACCCCGGGCCGCGACGCUCUGGGAACCACACCCGUCCAGGAAGGCACCUUGGCCAAAGCCGGCUCCUUCGCAGAUGACCCGGGCCAGGGUCCGAGCGCCAGGCUGUGACCCCGCGAGGCUGUUCCACGCUGGCCGCGAGAGACGGAGGGCAGGAGGGGCCCGAAUAGGACAGAGAGAGAGAGAGAGAGAGACAGAAGGAGGCGCACGCGCUCCCCAGGGACCGGGACGCGGUGGUGGGCGGGACCUCGCGGGGGUGGGGGGUGGUCGCAGGACCCAGAAGGCUCAGGACCUUUACGGAUAGGGAGGACCCCGCAGGGGGGAGCGGGGGAGCCCCACGCCCGGCGUCCUCCGGGUGCGAGGGUCUCGGGGAGUCCGAGCCCGGGCCCACGGCCUCUGUCCCGCGGCCACUACCUGCUGGGGGUCCCGGGCCUGGGCCACGCCGGGCUGCCCUCGGGGACUUGCUGCGGCCGUUGAGGGGUCUCCGCGCGCCGCGCAGACUCGCCUCCCAACCCGAGGGCCCGGGCGGCCGCCGCCCAGAGCGUCCAGCGGCAGCGUCUUGCUCUCGAAGGCGUCCUCCACGCAGCGGAACACGCAGCCAAGCUUGGGCCGGGCCAGAGGCCUCGCGGGCUCCUGAGGCUGCCGCGCGGUCACGGCAGGAGCGGGCGACAGAAUCCGGUCUCGGAGCCUCCUGUAGCGAGGUCUGCGCGGCAGGUGCACUGGGCGGACCUGGAGGCCGCGCCCUCCCCCCCCGCCUCCUGCCGCCCGGCAGCGCUGCGCGGAGCUGGCUCUGUCCACGUAGCGGGUGCUGAACGCCCCAUUCUGGCCCCUGGGUGCUCGCUUAGUCCCGGCCACGCGUGGCUGCUCGCCCUCGGGACACACUGGGCGCUGGGAAGGCCGGGCGGGGAGCGCGCACCGGAGAAACCGCUGUGGGAAUCCCGGCCACAUUUCCAGGCCCCUUGGGCCGUCCCACGCCAGACAAGAAAGCCCUGACUCCGAAACCCUGGGCGAGUGUGGAGGGCGCGCGGGGGUGGGGUGUACCCGCCCACGCAAACUGCUGCUGAUCUCCCUUAAAGCCGAGUUAGAGGCUUGGGGCGAGACAGGAGUGACGGGCGAUGCUGUCACUCCAUCUGUCAUUCUACCCAGCCUGCAGCAGCUGAAUUCGAACCCAGAGACUUCAGGCCUUUGCGUUGUUACCGCAGUCCGCAUUUCAAAGCCAGAGUUUGGCCACUGAGUCACCAUGACCUCGAGUACUGGCGGGGCCCGAGCCAGCAGAGCUAGCCACAGGAGGGAGCCUCCCAGGUGGUCGACCGGAGCCAGGUGCUGCCAGGCACCCGACUGCAGAGCUUGCCCUCCAGGUGAUCUCGCAGUAUCGGUGUUCACAAGCCCUGUAAGGCACUCGGGGUAUCCUGAAGGCUACAGAUUCUGCAAGGGCAGAGACUUUAAGGAACAGCCAUAGUCCUUCUCCAGCUCAAAAUCUGGACCAUGGGCACAAGGUUGUCCCGGAACCAUCGAUCUCUAGAAGGUACAGGAGGAAGGGGACCUGCCAGUCCAGCCCUCAUAUUUUACAGAGGGAAAAGGUGAAGCCCCAUGUAAAACAGGGAUUUCCCUCGGUGACACUUCCAGGCUGAGAAGGGCCGGGGAUCUGGACACCUACCCAGAAACACUCCCACCCUGUCAAUGCCUCUCUGAAUUAUGUGAUCAACUGCCUGGAGUAUGAACUAGGCACAUGCAAAUAGAGAACAGAGGUCUUGUUGAAAAUAUGAUGCUGAAUUUUAAAAACUCACUCCCCAAAUUAAAGGAACAAGACCAGAGCAUUUGGUUUCCUGUGGUCACUUGAUCCCUCUCCAGAGCCAGCUGCUGCUCUCCAUUGUCAGCACACUCCACUCACUGCCCUAUUUCCAGAACAGGAGACUUUCUGCCCCAUCCAUGGCCGCAACAUACCACUCACACACACACACUACAUGUGCACGUACACACAAUGCACAAUACACAUACCUGCACAUGUGCAAACAGCACAUACACACUGCACAUGCAUGUACACACAAUACACUACACACACAUGCCCACACAAUACGCACAAAUGCACUGUACAUGUGUACACACAAUGCAAAAUACACAUACAGGCACAUGCAAUGCACAACACAUACACAUACAUGCACAUGCCCAAAGACACCACUCACACACAGCACACACAUGCACACGAUAUAUACACACAUGCAUACACAACACACCACUCACAGCACAUGCAUACGCGCACACACACACACGCACACACACGCACACACGCGCGCGCACGCACGCACACACGCACACACACGCACACACACGCGCACACACACACGCACGCACACACACGCGCGCGCAC
RNAcentral lists this long non-coding RNA (2595 nucleotides) under Homo sapiens (human). Its description in RNAcentral is "non-protein coding lnc-STK32C-1:4". Lineage: Eukaryota; Metazoa; Chordata; Mammalia; Primates; Hominidae. The record is from RNAcentral.